This 441-nucleotide ribosomal RNA is filed under the name uncultured bacterium. Its description in RNAcentral is "partial 16S ribosomal RNA". It matches the Rfam family "Bacterial small subunit ribosomal RNA", at positions 338 to 795 of the family's 1533-position model. The record is from RNAcentral.
CCUACGGGAGGCAGCAGUGGGGAAUAUUGCACAAUGGGGGAAACCCUGAUGCAGCAACGCCGCGUGAGUGAAGAAGUAUUUCGGUAUGUAAAGCUCUAUCAGCAGGGAAGAAGAAAGACGGUACCUGACUAAGAAGCCACGGCUAACUACGUGCCAGCAGGCGCGGUAAUACGUAGGGGGCAAGCGUUAACCGGAUUUACUGGGUGUAAAGGGAGCGUAGACGGUUGUGUAAGUCUGAGGUGAAAGCCCGUGGCUCAACCCGGGAACUGCUUUGGAUACUGUAUAACUUGAGUACUGGAGAGGUAGGCGGAAUGCCUGGUGUAGCGGUGAAAUGCGUAGAGAUUAGGAGGAACACCAGUGGCGAAGGCGGCUUACUGGACAGUAACUGACGUUGAGGCACGAAAGCGUGGGGAGCAAACAGGAUUAGAUACCCCUGUAGUC